This is an unclassified non-coding RNA of Pongo abelii (Sumatran orangutan), 148 nucleotides long. It matches the Rfam family "Metazoan signal recognition particle RNA". Rfam says of the family: The signal recognition particle (SRP) is a universally conserved ribonucleoprotein. It is involved in the co-translational targeting of proteins to membranes. The eukaryotic SRP consists of a 300-nucleotide 7S RNA and six proteins: SRPs 72, 68, 54, 19, 14, and 9. The record is from Ensembl. Lineage: Eukaryota; Metazoa; Chordata; Mammalia; Primates; Hominidae.
GUCGGGCAUGGUAGCGCAUGCCUGUAGUCCCAGCUACUCGGGAGGCUGAGGCAGGAGAAUCGCUUGAACCCAGGAGGCGGAGGUUGCAGUGAGCCGAGAUUGCACCACUGCAAUCCAGCCUGGGUGAUGGAGUGAGACUCUGUCUCAA